This 467-nucleotide ribosomal RNA is filed under the name uncultured bacterium. RNAcentral's name for it is "partial 16S ribosomal RNA". It matches the Rfam family "Bacterial small subunit ribosomal RNA", at positions 28 to 507 of the family's 1533-position model. The record is from RNAcentral.
GACGAACGCUGGCGGCGUGCUUAACACAUGCAAGUCAGGGGGCGGGGUAACCCGUCACCGGCGAACGGGUGCGGAACACGUGAGCGACCUGCCCUGGUGUGGGGGAUAGCCGGCCCAACGGCCGGGUAAUACCGCAUACGGCGCCCGCUUGGAAGCGGGAGGCGAAACUCGCAAGAGGCGCUAGGAGGGGCCCGCGGCCUAUCAGCUAGUUGGUGCGGUAGCGGCGCACCAAGGCGAUGACGGGUAGCUGGUCUGAGAGGAUGGCCAGCCACAUUGGGACUGAGCGACGGCCCAGACUCCGACGGGGGGCAGAAGUGGGGACUAUUGGGCAAUGGGCGAAAGCCUGACGCAGCGAGGCCGCGUGGAGGAUGAGGCCUUUCGGGGUGUAAACUCCUGUGGGCCGGGAAGAAUGCCCCGCCGCGGCGGGGUUGACGGUACCGGGUGAGGAAGCACCGGCUAACUCUGUG